GGAUUGCAUUGGGGAGUUAUACAUGAUAUAAAUGAUGAAUUGAUGGGUGCUGACGAGUUGAUGGGUGCAGCACACCAACAUGGCACAAGUAUACAUAUGUAACAAACAUGCAUGUUAUGCACAUGUACCCUAGAACUUAAAGUAUAAUAAAAAAGAUAAUAAUAAUAAUAAUAAAAGAAAUUUUGGUACUUUUCAUUAUUAGGAUUUUUCCAUUGAAAUUUUUUAUUGAUAUUACUUUUAACAGAGUGACCAUGAGACUGUUUCACAGAAGGAUGUGUGUUUACCCAAGGCUACGUCUCAAAAAGAAUUCCAUAUGAUAAGUGGAAAAUCAGAAGAUCAGAUGAUCCCAUCAGAAUCCAAACAAAAAGACGAAGAAGAACAUUCUUGGGAUUUAGAGAAUGUGCAUGAGACUGUUUCACAGAAGGAUGUGUGUUUACCCAAGGCUGCACCUCAAAAAGAAUUCCACAUGAUAAAUGGAAAAUUAGAAGGU
Molecule: long non-coding RNA, 490 nt
Filed under: Piliocolobus tephrosceles (Ugandan red Colobus)
Lineage: Eukaryota; Metazoa; Chordata; Mammalia; Primates; Cercopithecidae
Description: lncRNA (ENSPTEG00000027335.1)
Source: RNAcentral